UCCACAGGCACCUCUUGGGUGGACGCCCA
This 29-nucleotide non-coding RNA is filed under the name Homo sapiens (human). The record is from RNAcentral. Lineage: Eukaryota; Metazoa; Chordata; Mammalia; Primates; Hominidae.